CUCGAAGUGGACUCACCGGGGAAGAGGCUCACCGGCUCACAGGGGGAAGGACCGAUGAGGACAUGAAGAGAAAACAGGCGUCACCAGCUAGUUAAGGCCGAACAAAGACCAUCCGAGAUGAAACAAAAUGAUCUCUUCCCGUUGUGAUAGAAUCGUGGCUCAAGUCCGGACAGACCACACCAAGCCAAUCCAGUUCCACGAGAGAGAGGUUUAUUGUGGCGGAAGGGGACAAAAGGGGGUGACGGAGACAAAGGGGGAAAAGAGAGAGAAGAAGGAGUGAAGGGUCAGGAAGGGUCUGCCUUUUAUUUGGGCUGUGACAUACCGCUCACAGGUAAAGGUGGGAGGUAACUGGAUGCU
Molecule: long non-coding RNA, 357 nt
Filed under: Rattus norvegicus (Norway rat)
Lineage: Eukaryota; Metazoa; Chordata; Mammalia; Rodentia; Muridae
Description: long non-coding RNA NONRATT033494
Source: RNAcentral